GAUGAACGCUGGCGGCGUGCCUAAUACAUGCAAGUCGAGCGAACAGACGAGGAGCUUGCUCCUCUGACGUUAGCGGCGGACGGGUGAGUAACACGUGGAUAACCUACCUAUAAGACUGGGAUAACUUCGGGAAACCGGAGCUAAUACCGGAUAAUAUAUUGAACCGCAUGGUUCAAUAGUGAAAGACGGUUUUGCUGUCACUUAGAGAUGGAUCCGCGCCGCAUUAGCUAGUUGGUAAGGUAACGGCUUACCAAGGCAACGAUGCGUAGCCGACCCGAGAGGGUGAUCGGCCACACUGGAACUGAGACACGGUCCAGACUCCUACGGGAGGCAGCAGUAGGGAAUCUUCCGCAAUGGGCGAAAGCCUGACGGAGCAACGCCGCGUGAGUGAUGAAGGUCUUCGGAUCGUAAAACUCUGUUAUUAGGGAAGAACAAAUGUGUAAGUAACUAUGCACGUCUUGACGGUACCUAAUCAGAAAGCCACGGCUAACUACGUG
RNAcentral lists this ribosomal RNA (497 nucleotides) under uncultured bacterium. RNAcentral's name for it is "partial 16S ribosomal RNA". It matches the Rfam family "Bacterial small subunit ribosomal RNA", at positions 28 to 507 of the family's 1533-position model. The record is from RNAcentral.